ACACGACCGUACCGCAAACCGACACUGGUGCGCGAGAUGAGUAUUCUAAGGCGCUUGAGAGAACUCAGGAGAAGGAACUCGGCAAAUUGACACCGUAACUUCGGAAGAAGGUGUGCCUUUAGUAGGUGAACCAUUUACUUGGGGAGCCCAAUGAGGCUGCAAAAAAUCGGUGGCUGCAACUGUUUAUUAAAAACACAGCACUCUGCUAAGACGAAAGUCGACGUAUAGGGUGUGACGCCUGCCCGGUGCUGGAAGAUUAAAUGAUGGGGUGCAAGCUCUUGAUUGAAGUCCCAGUAAACGGCGGCCGUAUCUAUAACGGUCCUAAGGUAGCGAAAUUCCUUGUCGGGUAAGUUCCGACCUGCACGAAUGGCGUAAUGAUGGCCACACUGUCUCCUCCUGAGACUCAGCGAAGUUGAAAUGUUUGUGAUGAUGCAAUCUCCCCGCGGAAAGACGGAAAGACCCCAUGAACCUUUACUGUAGCUUUGUAUUGGACUUUGAACAGAUCUGUGUAGGAUAGGUGGGAGGCUUUGAAGUGUGGUCGCUAGAUCGCAUGGAGCCAACGUUGAAAUACCACCCUGGUGUGUUUGAGGUUCUAACCUAGGUCCAUUAUCUGGAUCGGGGACAGUGCAUGGUAGGCAGUUUGACUGGGGCGGUCUCCUCCCAAAGUGUAACGGAGGAGUUCGAAGGUACGCUAGGUACGGUCGGACAUCGUGCUAAUAGUGCAAUGGCAUAAGCGUGCUUAACUGCGAGACUGACAAGUCGAGCAGAUGCGAAAGCAGGACAUAGUGAUCCGGUGGUUCUGUAUGGAAGGGCCAUCGCUCAACGGAUAAAAGUUACUCUCUGGAUAACAGCUGAUACCGCCCAAGAGUUCAUAUCGACGGCGGUGUUUGGCACCUCGAUGUCGGCUCAUCUCAUCCUGGGGCUGUAGCCGGUCCCAAGGGUAUGGCUGUUCGCCAUUUAAAGAGGUACGUGAGCUGGGUUUAAAACGUCGUGAGACAGUUUGGUCCCUAUCUUCCGUGGGCGCUGCAGAUUUGAGGAAGCCUGCUCCUAGUACGAGAGGACCGGAGUGGACGAACCUCUGGUGUAUCGGUUGUCACGCCAGUGGCAUUGCCGAGUAGCUAAGUUCGGAAGAGAUAACCGCUGAAAGCAUCUAAGCGGGAAACUCGUUUCAAGAUUAGAUCUGCCGGGGCCUUGAGCCCCCUAAAGAGUCGUUCAAGACCAGGACGUUUUAGGUCAGGUGUGGAAGC
RNAcentral lists this ribosomal RNA (1247 nucleotides) under metagenome. RNAcentral's name for it is "bacterial LSU rRNA". It matches the Rfam family "Bacterial large subunit ribosomal RNA", at positions 1636 to 2874 of the family's 2925-position model. The record is from RNAcentral.